This 158-nucleotide ribosomal RNA is filed under the name uncultured Gammaproteobacteria bacterium. Its description in RNAcentral is "partial 16S ribosomal RNA". It matches the Rfam family "Bacterial small subunit ribosomal RNA", at positions 335 to 485 of the family's 1533-position model. The record is from RNAcentral. Lineage: Bacteria; Pseudomonadati; Pseudomonadota; Gammaproteobacteria.
ACUCCUACGGGAGGCAGCAGUGGGGAAUAUUGGACAAUGGGGGCAACCCUGAUCCAGCCAUGCCGCGUGUGUGAAGAAGGCCUUUUGGUUGUAAAGCACUUUAAGCAGGGAGGAGAGGCUAAUGGUUAAUACCCAUUAGAUUAGACGUUACCUGCAGA